GGGUGAGUAACGCGUGAGUAACCUGCCUUAAAGAGGGGGAUAACGCUUCGAAGGGAACGCUAAUACCGCAUAAGAUCAAGCUGUGGCAUCAUGAAUUGAUCAAAGGAGCAAUCCGCUUUAAGAUGGACUCGCGUCCGAUUAGCUAGUUGGUGAGAUAACAGCCCACCAAGGCGACGAUCGGUAGCCGGACUGAGAGGUUGACCGGCCACAUUGGGACUGAGAUACGGCCCAGACUCCUACGGGAGGCAGCAGUGGGGGAUAUUGCGCAAUGGGGGAAACCCUGACGCAGCAACGCCGCGUGAAGGAAGAAGGCCUUCGGGUUGUAAACUUUUGUCUUAUGGGAAGAAAAAAAUGACGGUACCAUAGGAGGAAGCUCCGGCUAACUACGUGCCAGCAGCCGCGGUAAUACGUAGGGAGCGAGCGUUGUCCGGAAUUACUGGGUGUAAAGGGCGUGUAGGCGGUAUGGCAAGUCAGAUGUGAAACCUCGGGGCUUAACCCCGAGCAUGCAUUUGAAACUGCCGUACUUGAGUGCAGGAGAGGUAAGCGGAAUUCCCGGUGUAGCGGUGAAAUGCGUAGAGAUCGGGAGGAACACCAGUGGCGAAGGCGGCUUACUGGACUGCAACUGACGCUGAGGCGCGAAAGCGUGGGGAGCAAACAGGAUUAGAUACCCUGGUAGUCCACGCUGUAAACGAUGAUUACUAGGUGUAGGGGGUAUCGACUCCCCCUGUGCCGGAGUUAACACAAUAAGUAAUCCACCUGGGGAGUA
This 766-nucleotide ribosomal RNA is filed under the name uncultured bacterium. RNAcentral describes it as "bacterial SSU rRNA". It matches the Rfam family "Bacterial small subunit ribosomal RNA", at positions 104 to 882 of the family's 1533-position model. The record is from RNAcentral.